RNAcentral lists this transfer RNA (67 nucleotides) under Precis eurodoce. RNAcentral describes it as "tRNA-Glu". Lineage: Eukaryota; Metazoa; Arthropoda; Insecta; Lepidoptera; Nymphalidae. The record is from RNAcentral.
AUUUACAUAAAUUACAUAGUUUAUAUAGUUUAUAUAGUUUAUAUAGUUUAAUAUAGUUUUAUAAAUA